Xylariomycetidae sp. FL0641 is the source of this 89-nucleotide non-coding RNA. The record is from the annotation of a GenBank genome assembly. NCBI's taxonomy places the organism in Eukaryota, Fungi, Ascomycota, Sordariomycetes.
GCCCUGGUAGCUCAAUUGGCUAGAGCGUGGGACUUUUACGACCAUUUCAGUCCAUCCCAAGGUUGCGGGUUCGACCCCCGCCUGGGGCG